RNAcentral lists this transfer RNA (83 nucleotides) under Ruminococcus sp. AM36-2AA. Its description in RNAcentral is "tRNA-Gln". It matches the Rfam family "tRNA". Rfam says of the family: Transfer RNA (tRNA) molecules are approximately 80 nucleotides in length. Their secondary structure includes four short double-helical elements and three loops (D, anti-codon, and T loops). The record is from RNAcentral. RNAcentral also lists the same sequence under 1 other name. Lineage: Bacteria; Bacillati; Bacillota; Clostridia; Eubacteriales; Oscillospiraceae.
UGGGGUGUGAUGGAAUUGGAUAGACAUAAUAGACUUUGACUCUAUUGGAGAUUUCCGUGUGGGUUCGAAUCCCACCACCCUAG